CUUCCAACAGGAACCACCGCGCCGGAAUCAUAACCACCCAAAAAAAUCCCAAAAUUUACGUAGAAACCUUAUUUUUUGCGAUUUAAACACAAAUCAACAUUAAAGGUUAAGGGUGUUGGUGGAGGCAGAGGCAAGGUGCACUGUUAAAUUAGUUUUUUUUCUGUUUGUAAUUUCUCUUCUCUGUGUGUGUAAAAAAAACCCCUUUCUUGCUCUGAUUGUGUCUCAAUUAAUAGACCAAGCGAAUGAAUUUGUUUAAUGUAAAAAACCUUCAGAUUUACAAUUUUUAUUGUUUUUAAUCUCAUCAAUUUGUGUUGAGAAGAAAGAAAAAAAAUAAUACGAGGAAAUGGUGAUGAAUGAAUAAAUCUGUGGUUGUUUUUCUC
Long non-coding RNA from Trifolium pratense (red clover), 380 nucleotides. RefSeq lists it as uncharacterized. The transcript is spliced from 2 exons. NCBI's taxonomy places the organism in Eukaryota, Viridiplantae, Streptophyta, Magnoliopsida, Fabales, Fabaceae. The record is from RefSeq and is a predicted model, not a curated record.